UUUCGGGCGACCGCUGGCGGCGUUGCCUAACACAUGCAAGUCGAGCGAGAUUUUAAGAACUAGCUUGCUAGUUCUUAAAUGAAAGCGGCGGACGGGUGAGUAACGCGUGGGCAACCUGCCCUAUGGAAAGGGAUAGCCUCGGGAAACCGGGAUUAAUACCUUAUAAAGUGAACACUUCGCAUGGAGAGUUCAUCAAAGAUUUAUCGCCAUAGGAUGGGCCCGCGUCCCAUUAGCUAGUUGGUGAGAUAACAGCUCACCAAGGCGACGAUGGGUAGCCGACCUGAGAGGGUGAUCGGCCACAUUGGGACUGAGACACGGCCCAGACUCCUACGGGAGGCAGCAGUGGGGAAUAUUGCACAAUGGGGGAAACCCUGAUGCAGCGACGCCGCGUGAGUGAAGAAGGUUUUCGGAUCGUAAAACUCUGUCCUUGGUGAAGAAAAAAAUGACAGUAGCCAAGGAGGAAGCCCCGGCUAACUACGUGCCAGCAGCCGCGGUAAUACGUAGGGGGCGAGCGUUGUCCGGAUUUACUGGGCGUAAAGGGUGAGUAGGCGGUAGUAUGUGUCAGAUGUAAAAGGCUAAGGCUUAACCAUAGUUAGCAUUUGAAACUGUAUUACUUGAGUGCAGGAGAGGUAAGCCGGAAUUCCUAGUUGUACCGGUGAAAUGCGUACAUAAUUA
RNAcentral lists this ribosomal RNA (675 nucleotides) under uncultured bacterium. Its description in RNAcentral is "bacterial SSU rRNA". It matches the Rfam family "Bacterial small subunit ribosomal RNA", at positions 23 to 700 of the family's 1533-position model. The record is from RNAcentral.